CUGCCCUGCGGCGUGCCUAUACAUGCAGUUGAGCGCUGAAGGUUGGUACUUGUACCGACUGGAUGAGCAGCGAACGGGUGAGUAACGCGUGGGGAAUCUGCCUUUGAGCGGGGGACAACAUUUGGAAACGAAUGCUAAUACCGCAUAACAACUUUAAACACAAGUUUUAAGUUUGAAAGAUGCAAUUGCAUCACUCAAAGAUGAUCCCGCGUUGUAUUAGCUAGUUGGUGAGGUAAAGGCUCACCAAGGCGAUGAUACAUAGCCGACCUGAGAGGGUGAUCGGCCACAUUGGGACUGAGACACGGCCCAAACUCCUACGGGAGGCAGCAGUAGGGAAUCUUCGGCAAUGGACGAAAGUCUGACCGAGCAACGCCGCGUGAGUGAAGAAGGUUUUCGGAUCGUAAAACUCUGUUGGUAGAGAAGAACGUUGGUGAGAGUGGAAAGCUCAUCAAGUGACGGUAACUACCCAGAAAGGGACGGCUAACUACGUGCCAGCAGCCGCGGUAAUACGUAGGUCCCGAGCGUUGUCCGGAUUUAUUGGGCGUAAAGCGAGCGCAGGUGGUUUAUUAAGUCUGGUGUAAAAGGCAGUGGCUCAACCAUUGUAUGCAUUGGAAACUGGUAGACUUGAGUGCAGGAGAGGAGAGUGGAAUUCCAUGUGUAGCGGUGAAAUGCGUAGAUAUAUGGAGGAACACCGGUGGCGAAAGCGGCUCUCUGGCCUGUAACUGACACUGAGGCUCGAAAGCGUGGGGAGCAAACAGGAUUAGAUACCCUGGUAGUCCACGC
Molecule: ribosomal RNA, 783 nt
Filed under: Lactococcus lactis
Lineage: Bacteria; Bacillati; Bacillota; Bacilli; Lactobacillales; Streptococcaceae
Description: bacterial SSU rRNA
Rfam family: Bacterial small subunit ribosomal RNA
Source: RNAcentral